This is a long non-coding RNA of Tripterygium wilfordii, 795 nucleotides long. RefSeq lists it as uncharacterized. Lineage: Eukaryota; Viridiplantae; Streptophyta; Magnoliopsida; Celastrales; Celastraceae. The record is from RefSeq and is a predicted model, not a curated record. The transcript is spliced from 4 exons.
GUAAAUGCGUAGGGAAAUAACGCAGGAGCUCCUGCUCAGGCCCAGGUCCAGGUCAUCCGAAUCUAUUUAAACCUAGCCUUUCAGCACGAAAUGACGAAACCUUGCCCGCCAUUUCGUUCCCUCCCAAAAUGUCGAACACAGUAAUUUCUCUCCAGACCUUCAUCUUUCGCUCUCAAGUCAGCUACAGAAGAUUUGAUGAUUAAACGCUUCGAAUUAUAUCGGUUCUGGUUUUCAAAGAUGUGGAAUCGUUAACGGAAGCACCGAAGAACUUGAGAGUUUUUGAGAUCUCAAUCUCUGAAUGCUAUCGGAGCUUCUGACUAUAGAAUUCUAUGUUCGUGCUUUCGCUCUUCUAGGGGUAUUGAGGUUAUAAUAACGACUACUACAAUUUCAAUUGCUGUUUUGAAGAUUUCUUGAAUACGUAAGCCUUGUGAAAAUGCACUAUCAAGCAUUGAAAUGAAUGAUACAGCAGAAAACGGAUGAAUUCUCAAAUUAUUGAAGUGAGUCCUUGGCAGCCUCAAACUCAGAUUUUUCGGAUGGGAUUUUCGCCAGUCUUUUAUUGAUCAUUUAAUACUCCAUAAAGAAACCAAGUGCAGCAAAGUACCUGACAAAGAAGACAAUUGAGAAAAGAAGAUUGCAACCUUCACUAUGUAAAGAAACCAAGUGUACUGCAAGCAUUUUGUUCAGUUACAGAAUUAAGAAGCAGAAUGUACGAAAUUGAUGAACUUCAAAGUAAUUAGCUGCUUUCAAAUGGAUCAGAAUCCUUCCAAUCAUGAGGCCAAUUCCAGUCUUUUUCAU